This is a long non-coding RNA of Acyrthosiphon pisum (pea aphid), 1205 nucleotides long. RefSeq lists it as uncharacterized. The record is from RefSeq and is a predicted model, not a curated record. Lineage: Eukaryota; Metazoa; Arthropoda; Insecta; Hemiptera; Aphididae. The transcript is spliced from 6 exons.
CCUGUUUGGGACUUGUAUAGGCAGUACAUCAUACACAUUCUUAUCAAUGUCUGGAUAUGUCAAUAAUAAUUAUUACUGAUUAGUGGCUAGACAUUUGGUUUACAGACAUUUUGCAAUUUCACACAAAUACACAAUGUAUUAUAUCAUGGUUUUCAAAACUGACAUCAUAUAAUAAUAUGAUGUAAGUACCUACGAGGAACUAGGAAGUCCAGCAAAUGUAUUGACAAUUUUUGAUAAGUCUAUUUUAUUUAAGACAAUUCUACAGAACAAGUAGGUAUACAUUAUAAAUAUUGCAAUUCAAGUAAUAAAAACAUUAAUAUUAAAGUGAAUACUAAAAGAUAAGAAUAUAAUUGUGGGUACAUCAUGUGAUUUCAUUGAUUUAUUAAUUUAAAAGUAAUAUAUUGCGGAGCCAGUAUCUAAUUUUAAUAGCACGGAGCAUCUGAACAUAUUUAAAUUUCAAAGAACACAUAACAAGUUUGGAAAUUCAGUGUUCUGAAAAUUGGAUGUGAUUCAUUCUGGGACAUUGCUGUCAGCAAAAGAGGGUUUCCAAGUUCCAGAUUAAAUAGGAUAUCAAUGUAUAACAUGGACUACUCAAUUAUGUUUUCUUCAGUUCAUACAUAUAUUUUGUCAUUACCAGUUUCGGAUAGAUGAAAUUACACUACUGAAUAAUGAUUAAUUUUAAUAAUAAUUUUAUCAUUUUUGAAAUGAAUUAUGAUUGCGAGGAAUGAAAUAUUAAAUUAUUGCUAAGAUUGAUAUACCAUUGUCCAACUGUGAAGAAGUAGGUAGGUAGCCAAUUUUAAAAGUGCAGAUCUUUGAAGACCAGGAUGUGUAAAUGUGAAUUGGAAAGUGGCAACAUACACCUAGUUCAGACUUCAGAAAUUUAGUUAGACAUGAUUUAUGGAAAUUGGAUUCAUUAAUUUUUGGACAUUCAAAACUAUACCAUACUACUAUUGUCUGAUUGUGAAGAAGUAGGUAGCUAAUUUUAAUAGUGCAGAUCUUAGAAGACCAGGAUGUGUAGAUGUGAAUUGGAAAGCGGCAACAUAUACCUAGUUCAGACUUUAGAAAUUUAGUUAGACAUGAGUUAUGGAAAUUGGAUUCAUUAAUUUUUGGUCAUUCAAAGUAGCUUUAGAAACCCUAAUAAAUGUAUUUUCUAUCUAAUAAUUGUAUUAAAUAUAAUUAAAUAAGAUUUUAUAUUUAACUUAUGA